Molecule: ribosomal RNA, 482 nt
Filed under: uncultured bacterium
Lineage: Bacteria
Description: partial 16S ribosomal RNA
Rfam family: Bacterial small subunit ribosomal RNA
Source: RNAcentral
AUUGAACGCUGGCGGCAUGCUCUACACAUGCAAGUCGAACGGUAACAGGCCGCAAGGUGCUGACGAGUGGCGAACGGGUGAGUAAUGCAUCGGAACGUGCCCAGUCGUGGGGGAUAACUACUCGAAAGAGUAGCUAAUACCGCAUACGAUCUAUGGAUGAAAGCGGGGGACCGUAAGGCCUCGCGCGAUUGGAGCGGCCGAUGUCAGAUUAGGUAGUUGGUGGGGUAAAGGCUCACCAAGCCAACGAUCUGUAGCUGGUCUGAGAGGACGACCAGCCACACUGGGACUGAGACACGGCCCAGACUCCUACGGGAGGCAGCAGUGGGGAAUUUUGGACAAUGGGCGCAAGCCUGAUCCAGCAAUGCCGCGUGCAGGAAGAAGGCCUUCGGGUUGUAAACUGCUUUUGUACGGAACGAAACGGCUCUGGUUAAUACCCGGGGCUAAUGACGGUACCGUAAGAAUAAGCACCGGCUAACUUCGUG